UGGGGAAUUUUGGACAAUGGGGGCAACCCUGAUCCAGCCAUGCCGCGUGAGUGAAGAAGGCCUUCGGGUUGUAAAGCUCUUUCGGCCGGAAAGAAAGCUUAUUCCCUAAUAGGGGAUGAGGUUGACGGUACCGGCAGAAGAAGCACCGGCUAACUACGUGCCAGCAGCCGCGGUAAUACGUAGGGUGCGAGCGUUAAUCGGAAUUACUGGGCGUAAAGCGUGCGCAGGCGGCUAUUUAAGCUUGCUGUGAAAGCCCCGGGCUUAACCUGGGAACUGCAGUGAGGACUGGAUGGCUAGAGUGUGGCAGAGGGGGGUGGAAUUCCACGUGUAGCAGUGAAAUGCGUAGAGAUGUGGAGGAACACCGAUGGCGAAGGCAGCCCCCUGGGCUAACACUGACGCUCAGGCACGAAAGCGUGGGGAGCAAACAG
This 428-nucleotide ribosomal RNA is filed under the name uncultured bacterium. Its description in RNAcentral is "bacterial SSU rRNA". It matches the Rfam family "Bacterial small subunit ribosomal RNA", at positions 355 to 775 of the family's 1533-position model. The record is from RNAcentral.